GAGGCUGACCAAAACACGUGUGAGUGAAGAUCCUAUCCUGUAGACAAGUGUGACAGUAUUUUAAUACUGAGCCGAAAACAACAUAGGUGCUGCUGUACGACUGUUUUAAUCUGGAUUAGUGUUUCUCUCCCAGGACUCUAAUAAUCCGAUUAUUCAGAGUUCGCUUGGCGCUUCUUCAAGGGGGAGAAGAUGAUGGAGACGCGAAGCAAGGGCUCCUCGGUUAUAUGGCGGUGUCUCGGCGCAUACCGUUACUGUUCAUGCUGGUUCAGGCGAUCUGCACUUCUGAAGUGAGGCUACGAGAGGCUAUCCGUGCUAUUAAAUCGAUUGGAAGUUUUUUUCUACGUCAUGCAAAGCAAAUCGAACGCGUCCCUAUGCAAAACGUGAGCAAAGUUAUUUUAACAGGGUUUCUAUUCUAGUCAGUCCACUGCAGUGCAUCCCUGUGCAGUAUUCGGACAUAUAGAAUGCUGCGCUCUGCUCUGCAGUCAGACUGCGGCUUUGACAGAGUUUUGAGAGCGAAAUCGAAAGACAACUGAAUUUAAUGAGAGUGACUUGGGUCUUUUUCCAUACCUGUCAAUCAACGGGGAUAGCGGUAUCGACUAUAGCCUACAUUAUGGGUCCUUCAUUGUCGUUUUGAUGGUGUUCAGAAUUCCAUGGACCCAUAUCAGUGCCUGUGGCUGCAGUUUCAGUUUCUACUAAACCUGUCCACUAAGGAGUAUGUCUGAAAUGCUGCCAAACGUUUGCUGACUCAAGGAUUUCGAAGGCCAGCAUCCCGGAGUCACCUCUUCACUGUUGACGUUGAGACUGGACAGAGGAACUCUGCC
This is a long non-coding RNA of Oncorhynchus gorbuscha (pink salmon), 821 nucleotides long. RefSeq lists it as uncharacterized. The record is from RefSeq and is a predicted model, not a curated record. Lineage: Eukaryota; Metazoa; Chordata; Actinopteri; Salmoniformes; Salmonidae. The transcript is spliced from 3 exons.